AACGAACGCUGGCGGCGUGCCUAACACAUGCAAGUCGUGCGAGAAAGUUCCUUCGGGAGCGAGUAAAGCGGCGCACGGGUGAGUAACACGUAGGUAACCUGCCCCCCAGUCUGGAACAACUAGAGGAAACUCUAGCUAAUGCCGGAUGAGACCACGAUCCCUUCGGGGUUGGCGGCCAAAGAAUGGCCUCUACUUGUAAGCUAUCGCUGAGGGAUGGGCCUGCGGGCCAUUAGCUUGUUGGUGAGGUAACGGCUCACCAAGGCUGUGAUGGCUAGCUGGUCUGAGAGGAUGACCAGCCACACUGGGGACUGAGACACGGCCCAGACUCCUACGGGAGGCAGCAGUGGGGAAUAUUGCGCAAAUGGGCGAAAGCCUGACGCAGCGACGCCGCGUGGGUGAUGAA
Molecule: ribosomal RNA, 403 nt
Filed under: uncultured bacterium
Lineage: Bacteria
Description: bacterial SSU rRNA
Rfam family: Bacterial small subunit ribosomal RNA
Source: RNAcentral